GGAGAAGUGCAGGAGUGGUUGAACUGGCACGCCUGGAAAGUGUGUAAACUCGAAAGGGUUUCAAGGGUUCGAAUCCCUUCUUCUCCGCCA
This 90-nucleotide transfer RNA is filed under the name Chitinophaga sancti. RNAcentral's name for it is "tRNA-Ser". It matches the Rfam family "tRNA". Rfam says of the family: Transfer RNA (tRNA) molecules are approximately 80 nucleotides in length. Their secondary structure includes four short double-helical elements and three loops (D, anti-codon, and T loops). The record is from RNAcentral. RNAcentral also lists the same sequence under 1 other name. Lineage: Bacteria; Pseudomonadati; Bacteroidota; Chitinophagia; Chitinophagales; Chitinophagaceae.